CCCCUUCUCCCGCACAGGAGACGGCGGCGGCUACAUCCCGGCCAGGAGACGGGUGCAGCAACGCGCGCCAAUCAUGAUCUAGUAGUAUGUUGUGACUAGAAGGAUGUUGGCUAUGGCAUUGGCUGAUGAGGCAUCGCAGCAACCUACCCCAACCUCAACCUCGAAAGCUAGGAAGUUGACCCCGAAGAGAAGGAAGAUCUAGUGUUGUGCAUCAUCUUCUAUGUUCUCUAUGCUUUCGGUUGUAAUAUGUCAGACUUGGCAGCCCCUACUAAUUUGUGCAACAUCAUAGCCUUAUAUUAGAUGAUGUAUGAAAAUGUGAAAUAUCAGUUUUAUGCUAUAUUGUGUUCAAUUUGUGUGAUGG
Molecule: ribosomal RNA, 361 nt
Filed under: Triticum aestivum (bread wheat)
Lineage: Eukaryota; Viridiplantae; Streptophyta; Magnoliopsida; Poales; Poaceae
Description: partial small subunit ribosomal RNA
Source: RNAcentral